AGCAGCGUGGCUCAGUGGAAAGAGCACUGGCUUUGGAGUCAGAGGUCAUGAGUUUGAAUCCCAGCUCUGCCA
This 72-nucleotide transfer RNA is filed under the name Ornithorhynchus anatinus (platypus). It matches the Rfam family "tRNA". Rfam says of the family: Transfer RNA (tRNA) molecules are approximately 80 nucleotides in length. The record is from Rfam by way of RNAcentral. Lineage: Eukaryota; Metazoa; Chordata; Mammalia; Monotremata; Ornithorhynchidae.